ACUCAAAUGAAUUGACGGGGACCCGCACAAGCGGUGGAUUAUGUGGAUUAAUUCGAUGCAACGCGAAAAACCUUACCUACCCUUGACAUGUCCUGGAGGCUGGGGAAACCCGGCUGUGCCCGAAAGGGAACGGGAACACAGGUGCUGCAUGGCUGUCGUCAGCUCGUGUCGUGAGAUGUUGGGUUAAGUCCCGCAACGAGCGCAACCCUUGUCAUUAGUUGCUACAUUUAGUUGGGCACUCUAAUGAGACUGCCGGUGACAAACCGGAGGAAGGUGGGGAUGACGUCAAGUCCUCAUGGCCCUUAUGGGUAGGGCUUCACACGUAAUACAAUGGCGCGUACAGAGGGUUGCCAAGGCGCGAGCUGGAGCCAAUCCCUAUAAAGCGCGUCGUAGUCCGGAUUGCAGUCUGCAACUCGACUGCAUGAAGUCGGAAUCGCUAGUAAUCGCGGAUCAGCAUGUCGCGGUGAAUACGUUCCCGGGUCUUGUACACACCGCCCGU
Molecule: ribosomal RNA, 499 nt
Filed under: uncultured bacterium
Lineage: Bacteria
Description: partial 16S ribosomal RNA
Rfam family: Bacterial small subunit ribosomal RNA
Source: RNAcentral